GACGGGGUCAGGAAGUGCAGGGUGGCAUGCCGAGGUCUCAAGGGCUCGUUAAACACUUGAGAAAAUGAUAGCUGCCAACACAGAAUUGGCGCUCGCCGCCUAAAAAAUAGGCGACGCGUCCGGUGUGCCGUUGCCUGCGCGGCAUAUCGGGCGUCACAGCAGCAGGCUGGCCCUGCCCGCCGCCUGAACGGGCAGGGUGAGGAGUUUUCAGGCUAGUCAUUGCCGUAGCCGGCCUCUGGACAGCGGCAAGGGCGAAUGC
Molecule: transfer-messenger RNA, 259 nt
Filed under: Deltaproteobacteria bacterium
Lineage: Bacteria; Pseudomonadati; Myxococcota; Myxococcia
Description: partial transfer-messenger RNA
Rfam family: transfer-messenger RNA
About the family: Bacterial tmRNA, also known as 10Sa RNA or SsrA, is named for its dual tRNA and mRNA-like properties. Its role is to liberate the mRNA from a stalled ribosome.
Source: RNAcentral